RNAcentral lists this microRNA precursor (112 nucleotides) under Marmota monax (woodchuck). The record is from RNAcentral. Lineage: Eukaryota; Metazoa; Chordata; Mammalia; Rodentia; Sciuridae.
AUAAGAAUUCCCAGGAUGUUGUUGAGAUGCAGAUUCUGAUUCAGUAGAUGGGGCUCCAUGGGAAUAGGACCUGAGAUUCUGCGUUUCUAAUAAACACCAGAGAGAUGCUAGU